GGGCGUGUGGCUCAGUUGGUAGAGCGUUCGCUUAGCAUGCCCUCGUGUAUGCGAAAGGUCCUGGGUUCGAUUCCCAGCUCGUCCA
RNAcentral lists this transfer RNA (85 nucleotides) under Thermothielavioides terrestris NRRL 8126. RNAcentral's name for it is "Thielavia terrestris NRRL 8126 tRNA". It matches the Rfam family "tRNA". From Rfam's summary of the family: Transfer RNA (tRNA) molecules are approximately 80 nucleotides in length. Their secondary structure includes four short double-helical elements and three loops (D, anti-codon, and T loops). The record is from Rfam by way of RNAcentral. Lineage: Eukaryota; Fungi; Ascomycota; Sordariomycetes; Sordariales; Chaetomiaceae.